UCAAUGACACAUAUUAUUUUGUCAAGAACAAAGACUAAUAAAUACGAUUUUUGAUCUGGCAGGUAAAGUGGACACCUAAAAGAGCUAAGUGUACAAAGAGACUGAUCCAGUUAAUCUUUGGAGGAUUAAAACCCUGUUCCUAGGAAGGAAGACGGCCUGAGUUCCAGACAUGAACCUUCAAUUAUUCUGGAUACAUUUCAACGUCUGGCUGUAAUGUUGUCAUCCAAGAGCUCUAAUCAAUGGACUCUGUCCGAGUUUCUGGGCCAACGGAGGCGGCUCCUGGGCCUUGGAGCGCUGCUGGCCUGGUUGGUCCUCUUCCACCUCCUUGUGAACGUCUGGCUUCUCUGCAUCUUCACCAGUCUCCUUGUGGUUCUUGGGGGUUGGCUCGGAUCCCGAGCCAUUCUGGAUGCCAAUAGGCUUUUGCACUUGGAGCACUUCCUCCCUCUCGGUGGGGGGACGCCUCCUCUGUGCUCUGCCGAACACGAGUGGAGGCUCAACCAUGAGAUCCACAACGCCGUCCACAAAGCAGUGCGUGACUUUGUCUCCUCCUGGUAUCGCACUCUGCUGCCAGAGGUGGAGGGCGAGUUUGAGCGUGCGGUGCGUAACUCCAUGCUGGAGUCCGUGAUGGAGCUGAAGGAACGUGCGAGGCAAGUGGACAGAAAGGCUCUGGUCCAACGUCUUCUAGAGUUGUAUGGCUGCCACCUGCAGAGCUACAUGACAGCCAGACACGUGCAGCAGACACGUGGAAAGAAUGUUAGCCUUUGGCAGAUCUACCAGGAAAUAGAGAGACCCCAUCCAGCUGUGAGCGAUGCAGCUGCUGAGCUCAGCUAUGCAAGAGCUCUGGUGAACCUGGUCUUGCAUGUGCUUGUUCCGUACCCUCAGAUGGAAACCAGGACGGGAGGUUACAUGGUUACUGAACUCAUCACCUGCAAUGUACUUAUUCCGCUCAUAAGCAGGGUGUCUGACCCCGACUGGCUCAACCAAACCAUUGUAGACAUCUUCAACAGGUCAAGAAAACCACAAGAGGGCGCCCUGUACCAAUGUCAGUUCCACCAAGAUUCCUGGACCACCUGCCAGUCAUUUUCCGACCAAGCAAGCCUGGCAAGUGAGAGCAGCUCUGAUUUCCGUGAGCUGUCCAGCCCGAUCAGUGAGGAGGACUCAUCAGAAUGCAGCAGUCUGAUUUGUUCUGGGAAGGCUGAUACUUGCCACGCGGGUCUGCUCACACCGUGUAAGGUCAACUGCUGCUCCCUCACAUCGGGACAGUACUCUCACCUCCAAGUACUCUCAGUGGACUCUCUGAUGCAGUCCGACUCAGAAGACGACAUGACUAGACGUUUGUGUGAAUGCGGCCCCUCACCCAACUUCUGCAACUCUGUGAAUGUAAAGGAUGACGUGGACGAUUUUGGCUGCUUUGCUCCACUGAAAAAUCUCGGGCCUAAGAUGACUGGGCCUGUGGACGCCCACUGGCCUGCAGGGAUUGCUCAAGAAAAAUCCCCAGUCGGUUCUUCAAGAAGACUUUCCCUGGGCCCCUUGAACUCUGAUGUUCCAAACAAACCAGCCUCGUCAGUGAACAUCCAGAAUGUGCACAUCGCUGGAAUAGUCAGUGCAAAGGAUCAGCGUGGAAUUGGAGCACAUCCUCUCUACACAAUCACGUUUGAGACAGCGCCAUGCCUUGAACGCGCCGACCUCCUGCAGUCUUUGGCCUGUCACUCGGUCAACCGGAGAUACAGCGAGUUCCUCAACUUGCAGACUCGUUUAGAGGAGAACCCUGAAGUGAAGAAGUUCAUCAAGAAUGUAAAAGGCCCAAAGAAAAUGUUCCCUGACCUUCCGUUUGGGAACACAGAUGGUGAGAAGGUGGAAGCCCGUAAAGGUCAAUUGGAUACGUUCCUUAGGCAACUCAGCAGCAUUCCUGAGACGGCCAUGAGUGAGGACAUGCAGGAGUUCCUGGCUCUAAACUCGGAGGUUUGCACAUAUUUUGAAAGAAAGCCAUUUGGCAAGUCAAGAAUCGAUAAGAUGAUGGAAAAUGCUUUAGACACACUGAAGACUGCCUUUCCUCACCCAGAGGUCUUAAGUCCUACAGAGGACCCUGAAGGAGACUCUGAUGGCAGAACAAUGGACAGCAGAAAGUACAUGAGGCUCAUGUUCCCAAGUAAAGUGUCCCCGUCUCUCAAUACACCCGACUUACAUCCUAAAGUGACUUACAGCUUUAGUGACGGCAGCCCUGUGCUCAAUGGCAUGUCCUUGUCCAGAUUGGAGAGCUUUGUGCAGGAGCAGGAAAGACUUCUGAACGAGCCACAAGGCCGAGGGACAGCCAAGCAGAGUGACGCCUCCACUGCGGACAAGAAGACACCCGGGAAAACUACAGACACAGCUGUGGCGGAUGUUGCUCUGAACAUCUUGUGUUUGUUGAUGAAGGACCAGUGGAGUUGGCUGUGCACUGAAAACAUCCAGAAGACCAUCAGACUCCUCUUUGGCACUUUUAUUGAGAGAUGGUUGGACGUAGGGGUGGCCCACCUCACCAGCGCCCCCUGCUGGGUCAUUUACCUCCAGGUGCUGCAGGAGGCCGUGUGGCCCGGAGGCACACUGCCCGCUCAACCGCAGCCUGAGCGCAGCGCCGCAGAACGAGGAGAAACCAAGGAGCGAUGCCUGGAAUGUCUAACGCAGCUACUUCCAGAGCUCAUCACUGACUUAUUAGGCAGUGAGAAGUACAGACUGAGCUUAGAGACCACGCUGGAGUCUUUACAGGACCACCACAUUAACAAGUUGUAUCAAUACAACGAAAGAAGGGGUCAGUCUUGGAUGUACAAAAUUCAAAAGACUUGAGUCAAAGGCGAUCCUAAAAUUCAGGAGCACCUUCGAGAGAAGUCUGAGUCAGAAUCUGCAAGAAAACGAAGAAAGAUAAGCAGAAACAAGAGAAAAAGGCACUCUGAUCUCUCAGUGAGCAACGUCAAGGCCUUUGAUCAUUGGAGGAGCUGUCACAAGACGACACCCACCUCACACAAGCGUACAUCUUCACAGGGUCGAGUGAAGACACGUCAUCUUGAACAGAUGAGGGCGAUAAGCUCAGCCUUUGGCUGUAAAAAUGUCCACAGUUAGUUUGCACUGUGGACACAAUUGCGUACAGUUAAGCCCCAAAUUAUUCAUAUCCAGGCCACAUUUGGAGUAAAAAUAAAACAGUAGUAACUAGACCAAAAAACUAAGUAGCAUUCAAUGCCUCAUUUCAAAUGAGGCAAACAUGAAAAGAAAAGUGACAGAAAAAUGAAAAGGCAAUUUGUUUCUUUGUCAUUGACAACCAUGACACGCCAAGAGCACCGCACAGUUCCAACAUUGUAUUUAGAUGUGCUCUCCACACCAGCAAUACAACUCUUCUUUAUUAUCCACCAAUCACAAUUCGUAAACGCUGCACUUUUGAACAUCAACAUUACAACACAGGCAACUAGAACUACAUUUUGCCCAAUAAAGACACAAAUCUUGCAUGAACAGUAAGUUUAACGAACAUAAUUGUGUAUCAAUGAUCAAUUUCUGCUUGAGUUGUGUGGAAUGUUAGUUUUUUUUGCACAUUUUGCACACAAUUUAUUUUCACUUCAUAUUUCUGAAUGUAUUACUCAGUUAUAAUUUAAUGUAUAUUACUGAAGUAUUUACAUUUUUAUUCUGUUCACAAUGCAUGGCACAGAUUUCUGUAAAUAUAAAAAAGCAUUGUUUUUGGACAACAUUUUUGUUUUUAUUAAAAUGUUGAUUUGA
Molecule: RNA transcript, 3741 nt
Organism: Nerophis lumbriciformis (worm pipefish)
Lineage: Eukaryota; Metazoa; Chordata; Actinopteri; Syngnathiformes; Syngnathidae
Gene: snx19a
Gene name: sorting nexin 19a
Source: RefSeq, a predicted model, not a curated record